GGUCGUGUGGCAUAAUGGAUAAGGCGUCGGAUUUCUAUGAAAGUAGUUUUCCGAAAAUUGCGGGGUCGAGUCCCGCCACGAAUU
Daphnia pulex (common water flea) is the source of this 84-nucleotide non-coding RNA. The record is from Rfam. Lineage: Eukaryota; Metazoa; Arthropoda; Branchiopoda; Diplostraca; Daphniidae.